RNA transcript from Planococcus citri (citrus mealybug), 2002 nucleotides. It is a transcript of the gene named integrator complex subunit 15, with no coding region annotated. Lineage: Eukaryota; Metazoa; Arthropoda; Insecta; Hemiptera; Pseudococcidae. The record is from RefSeq and is a predicted model, not a curated record. The transcript has 9 exons.
UUAUGAUGUUUUUUUGCAGAUUUUGCGGUAUUUUUAUUCAAUUUUCGCGAAGAAUUCGCUAUUUAUCGAAAUAUCAUCCAUUUCGAGACACAUUUUUCCAUUUCGAAUGAAUAUUGUCGUUCACCGAAUCCAUAAAUGUCAUCCGAUACCAAGCAGGCUUUACGGAAUUUGAAAUUUCCAUGCUGCGUUAAAGAAGCAUUAUCUCGUAUAGAACAACUGUGCACUUCAAAUGCAGUCCCAAACGUUGGUCGAAUACAGAACUGCAACUUAGCCAUGGAAUUGAUCACCGAAUUCGUAUUCUGCGAAAUAGAUCGAAGAGGAGAGAAGAAAAAAAAAUUGAAUCACAUACAAGAGAUGCAACUCGUCGAAGUUCUCAGCGAUUAUUUUGCAUUCAGUCAUAACAUUACUGCGGGCGGAGAUGCAGCUCGAAACACCGUAUUUAUGUCAUUAUUUCCUCAUACUUGCGUCGAACGUUGUCAAUUACUCGUGAAAUUAGUAUCUAUAGCCGUAUGCACCAAUAAUAUACCUCUGUUGUCAGCUACAGGUGUUUUGAUGCAGCAGAUCGGAUGUACUUCCAAGUUCAGCGUAGAGUUAGCUAAAGGAUUGAUUAACGAUUACUUUAUCCUGUUACCGAAUGCCAGCAACAAGUUGAGAGAUUUGCCGUGUAAAGCUCCCUUAUUCACUGCUAAUUUUCUAACCGCGUUAUCUGAAAUAUAUUUCGAUAUUGAUCCAGAGAGUCUUGUAGAAUGUCCAACAGCUGUACCUUCGUCAUCGUUGCUCAAUAUAAUUACCGAAUGGGUUUCGGACAAUAAUUCGUUAUGUUAUGCAGCCUUGACUAAUAAUUUAUUGUUAUCUCUUCCUAUGGGAGGCAUCCCGAUGCCUGCGGUUACCCCUUUCGUUGGUCUUUUCAAAUGGUGUGUGUUGGCUCCAUUGUACGUUGAUGAACACGAUUUAAUUUAUUCUAAAUUGCAUUUAGCUUUGUUGGAAAGUUUACUCGAAGCUGAAGUGUUUUGUCCAUCUCCUAGUCAACGUAACGUUAUAUCUGUUCAACAUGUUACCGCUUUGGUGAAGCUUUGUAAUAAUAAAAUCGAAAGAAUUCUGCAAAGCCCUAAAAUUGAUUCAAAUGGGCUACGAAGUCGAGUUCAAUUAUGUCUGGAAAGAUUAGCUCAAUUCGUUCAAGUCGCUUUACAUACAAAUUCCAUUUAUGGCAGCAAACAAGAUUUGAUCGCCAGAUUAAAGACCUUACCAAAAAAUCGUCUGCUCAGAAUCACGUUAUCGAGGCAUAAAGAAAUAAUAUGACCAAAUGCUCUCGCAGAUCUGUCUGAAAAUUGCGUUUAAAUAAUAAUCUUCGAUAUCGCGAUACCUUACGUAUCGGUCUAUAAAAAAAAGGAAAAUGGUAAAUUCGUAGACAGAAAUCUGUAUAUUGGAAAAAUUUACAAUUAAGAAUAUUCAAUGAUGAAAAUAAAAUUUAGAAAUCAUGCGAGCCCCAAUGAAUCUGAAACAGAAUAAUACGGCGGAUUAGACGACGUGUAUCGAAGCAAAAAAACACAGGUACGUUGAUCGACUUACAUUUUGCGGUCUUCCUUUGAUUUUUCUCUCAAUCAACGCUUGCAAAGCUUCGGAUCGAACGGACAACGAAUCCAUUUUCUCGAUAAGUUGCUGAUAAGGUGACGUAGGUUGAGUACCCAUAACAACGUGACCCAGUUUCGAAUCAAUUUUAGCGUCCAAACGAGCAUUCCUGAUCAGGUUGACAAUCCAGCAUUCGGCUUCUUCGGAUUUCAUGUUCAAUUUUUCAGCCAACAUGCUAAGGAAAAGAAUACACGAAGUUAUAACGUUCAGGCAUUCGAGUUAGAUAGAUCAAGAAGAGUUGAACUCACUUGAUACUGAUACACUGAUGAAUACGACAGAAAGUCUCGAAAAUCAUCAGACGGGCAUUUUCGACGAAUUCGUCUAAACAAGCGAUCAAGAAGAAAUCGUUGAAGAUGACGAUUUGACAUUCCGA